Pseudonaja textilis is the source of this 414-nucleotide non-coding RNA. Lineage: Eukaryota; Metazoa; Chordata; Lepidosauria; Squamata; Elapidae. The record is from the annotation of a RefSeq genome assembly.
AUGGGAGAUCUGGAGAACAGGAUCAUUGCCUUGCUGUUGGCCAUCUCCGCAGGUGUCCAAUGCCAGGACCGAGUGGAUCAGAAGCCUGUGAAAGUCACCAAAGAAGGAGAGGGCUCCACCAUCACCUAUCAGUUCACAUCCAAUGAUGUCUAUAGCAUGCACUGGUACAGGCAAUAUCCAAGAGGAGCACCUGAGCUUUUCCUAACAGUUACAUUGGGGAGCCCAAAGAAGCACGAACACGUCAGUGCCUCUUUUGACAGGCAGAAGAAGGAGAGUCAUUUAAACAUCGUAAAAGUGAAGAUGAAAGAUGCCGUAGUCUAUUUAUGUGGGGCUGGAGAUCCACAGCAACACAAAGACACCUGUUACCUGUACAAAACUCUCUUAAGACGGAGCAGUUCUGUGAAGGGGAAAUGA